GGAGGAAAACGGCAGAGACAGAAUUAAAAGCAAAGUACUUCGAUCAAGAUGCUUAUAAAGAUUUUUACAAUGCACCAAUGUUCUUAAGACCAAGAACAACUCCAACACCAAUUAUGUGACCAACAGACCCACAUGCCAAGGUAUCAGCAAGAGUGAAACCAGCUGGAUCGCCAGUUUGUAAGCCCGAGUCCCUCACUUCAAGCUUCAAUCCUGCAGUUGCCUUCCUGUUUGCUGAUGGGGCUAACCCAAAUCUCCCAGCAAAUAGCAUGAGGCUUGUGCUAGUCACCAUUAUCUGACAAUUUAGAAAGCAUAAACUGUUUCAGUCCCUAUUUAAUCCUUGUAAGAAAGACGUUCAAUUCUCUUGCAAGAUAACAAAUACAUAAAUCAGUAAAAAUCAUUACCAAAUUUGUGGGCGAACCAAUGAAAUCCAUACGAGCACCCAGGGCUCCAUUUCCCUUUCGCCUUGUAGGCUGAACAGCUGCCUGCAUGAUGUACAAGAAAUUUCAACUUCGAUCAAUAUUGUCUACAUAUGUUCAAGAGAAGACAACCUUAAUUACCCUAGCUCUUGUUAGUAUAUAUCACUAACCAGGGAUUUUACGGGGGCAGCUGAGGGUCUCAGGCCACUGAAUUGUGGGAGAGCAGUAGCAGUCAUCAUGGUAGUGGCUGCCAUUUUUGCUUCUUUGAAUGAAAAAAAUUGACCCAGGAAAAC
RNAcentral lists this long non-coding RNA (709 nucleotides) under Populus trichocarpa (black cottonwood). RNAcentral's name for it is "long non-coding RNA (PTRI_LNC001879)". Lineage: Eukaryota; Viridiplantae; Streptophyta; Magnoliopsida; Malpighiales; Salicaceae. The record is from RNAcentral.